Molecule: ribosomal RNA, 284 nt
Filed under: uncultured bacterium
Lineage: Bacteria
Description: partial 16S ribosomal RNA
Rfam family: Bacterial small subunit ribosomal RNA
Source: RNAcentral
AAUCAACGCUGGCGGCGUGCCUCAGACAUGCAAGUCGAACGCGAAAGUCCCCUUCGGGGGACAAGUAGAGUGGCGCACGGGUGAGUAACACGUAGGUAAUCUACCUUCGGAUGGGGAAUAACAACCGGAAACGGUUGCUAAUACCGCAUAAUGCAGCGGCACCUAAUGGUGACAGUUGUUAAAGCGGGGGAUCGAAAGACCUCGCGUCUGAAGAGGAGCCUGCGGCGGAUUAGCUAGNGGUAGGGUAAUGGCUUACCAAGGCGACGAUCCGUAGCCGGCCUGGA